CUCGCCCCUGCUCUAGGGUUCGCCGCCCGCCGGAGCCCCCCGCCGCCCUGCUCCGCUGUUGCCCCUCCCUCCGCCUGCCUCGCCCCCUCCCCUACACUCACCCCUGCCCGAUCUGGAUCUGGAUGAGGCGUUGCCUCCCGUUCCUCUCAUCGCGUCCCUUCUGCCAGCCAUGGAAGAGGGGAGGAAGAAGCUUCUCUGUAGAAUCAGCCGAUCGAGCGGGCUCCUGAUGUUGGCUUGCGAGAAUGCGGCAGAUCUCGUCGAUGCUGCAGGGCCUGGCCCGUUCCAUGUUUCUGGGAAAGGAUAGGAAGGUGGAGGAGGAGCACCAGGGGACGGUGCUGCGGUCGUCGGGGACGCUCUGGGGCGAGGGCUUCGAGACGUUCGCUGCCGCGUGCUGGACGUACAAGCACCAGCACCUCUGCUGGCCGUUUCCUCCAUACUGACAGAUCGCCGUGUUGCUAUCCUUGUAUGUUGUAGCCAGGAGGAGAGGUAGGCGCGGUGCCGCUCAUGGCCGUGGCGUCGUGCUUGUGGUAGUGGUGAAUUGGAGAGAACGACCUCCUAUCUAUGCACGUCCAUCUACUGCGGGCUUUCCCUCUUCCAGCAACAUCAUGUCUCAGUUUGCCGCCGCCAUUCAUCCGGAUGGCCCUGGACAUACAUACCAGCACCACACCCUUCCUCCUGUUGCUGGGGACGCAGCUAUCAUCGGUCCUCUGUUGUCUGCAGCCUGGACGUACAAGCCGUCGAAGCUGACGUUCCUUUGCAUAGGCUGCACAGACGGGUGUACAAGUUGUUGCUUCUGUUCAUCCACGCGCCAGUGACUCACAUACGUUGCUAGCUUUUGUUACUUGGUCCAUCCCUAGGAAGCAAUAAGAUUACUUCAGUAUGCAUAUACACGUUGCUAGCUACGUGCAGGGUAUCUCAAGUUCACAAAUAUUUAUGAGAUUGUUUUACUAGCUUUUGUUAUUUUUUGGCCCUUCAGUAUGCAGAUUGAUCUCAACAUUCAUAAGAAUCUUAAAAAAAAAUGGAGAUGAAAAUACUUCAAGUAGUUCUGAGUGGACAUCAUUUGAUAGCAUUUUGUUGUAGCAUCUACAGAAGACCUUUUCAUUUCAUUUUACCGAGAAACGCUGGAGGGUUCAUGUUUUCCUUAUCCAGGACAUUUUGAAGGUUUCUGAUGCAUUCUUACAAGAAGCAACAAUCCAGAGGUAAUUAGUGAAAUGAUAAGAGGGUCAACUAAUGGUGUUCAAUUUUUCCUUCAAGCAAACAGUUUGUACCCAAAUACAAUACUAUUCAGUAUCAUCCUGAAACCAAUAUCUCAAAGAUUCAUUCUUUAUGAAUUCGAGCCUUGGCAAACCACUCCCAUUACAAGGUUCCAUAAACAUGCUGGAUUUGUAUGUUGAUAUUCAAAUUAAUUGGGCAAAAAAUAGAUAUAUUUACUCUGAUGUUUUUACAUAUUUAGGUGAAUAGCAUCCUGUUUUUACUUCAAAUAAUUAACAAAAAAAUUAAAGAUCGUGAUUAUGUUGUUUAUUAAAUUCCUCUUGCAUUAUCUUUGAUGAAAAGUAUAUUAUCUGUCAGCAACGAUAUGUUAAUAUGGGCAAAGGAAAGUCAAAAUAUGUUAUCUCAGGCCAACAUUCUGAAAUUAGUGAAGCCCUAUAGUAUUUACUGGAUUGAUCGCGACACUGCUCAUAUUUUUUGGUACUUUAAUAUCUGAAAAUUUUCUUUUAAUCAUGAGCCGAGGAGAUAAUGGGUUGCAGGCACGCGCCCCGUCCUUCUCUUGUUCAAGGUUUGGCGGAUGCAUUAAGUUUGGAGAGGAAACUAACAUGAAUGACCAGGCGAUCUUUUUCUGACCUUUUUCUCCCUUUCUAAUUACUCCUCUCAUUUCCUCUGUUCUUCUCAGCCAUCUACUUUUCUAUCGCCAUAUCGAUCUCUAAACUCACUUCAUCUUUUUUCUUCCAAUUCAUCCGAUUGUUGUGUUCCAAGCACACAUGUCAUAAAGCAUCACCUCCUGCUUGUUCGAACAUGUUUGAUGUACUUACAUAUUAACAUGUUUGAUGUACUUACACAUUAACAAAACUGAUCAGUAACAUUCAUGCCGAAUUAUUUGGGUUUGGUCCUCUGCUUUUUUACUGUUUAUUUAUUGAUGAAGAUAGCAGAUGUUCAUGUUUUUAAAUAUAGUUACAUGUGUUUGUACAAAAAAAAUAUAGUUACAUGUGCUUCCAGUUGGUAGAGAUCAAAAAAUUAACUCACUGAUGCAAGGAAAAAGAGCUCUUUUAUAGACACUGCCAGCAGUGGAUACAUGGGAUACGGGUGCCAGGACGACACCAUCUUCUGCGCCGUCUGCCUUCCUCUCCUCCAGCGGGAGAGGCCCCUGCCUUCCUCUCCUCCUGCGUGGUGGCAGAUGGCCGCAGUUAACAGCGCUCCUGCGAGCGGGGGACACGAGUGCGGUGCAGACAGUGACCAGGUGUGACGAGACAGCCGCCGGCCAACUGUGGGCGGUUCUUUCACGUGCAGUAGACCGUGCCAUUCUAUGACGAGGAUGUGUUCCAGGAAAUGGAAACAAAUGAAACUGGAUGCUCAUCAUGUAUUUCAUGAAGAAAUUUGCAUGUCUGGGGCAUGUCUCCAUAUAAAAGGCCGAUCUCUGCACAACAGUAGUUUCUUCAGGUUAUGGUGUCCGAUUUUUUUCAUCUCAUUUUGCCAUGCACUAGAUUACAUGGUUAAUACUGUCACUAUGCAAUAACUGGGAAGAUUACGGAGGGAAGGGACAAUAUGUAAGAUGGGGCAAGGAGGCUGGUGUAGAUCUUGCUUCUCAUGACGACUUCAUAUCUGAUGCAACACUUCAGAGCUACUACAAAAGCUUUUUUUAGGAAGCUACUACAAAGCUUUUUUUCAGAAGCUACUACAAAGCUUUUGUUCAGGUAAAUUUCUAGCUUAAAUGGCCAUCGGAAAUGGAUUCCUGUUAUCCGUCAUGCUUGGUGACUAAUGGAUAUCAUCAUAUGCAUAGCUAUAUGAAAUGCUACCAGCAAACAGUUACUGUAGUUUACCAGCUCUGAAUUCUGUAGUCGUGUUUUCCUGUUAUACCAGACUUUCAAUAUUGUGCAUAUGUUUCCUUUUCUUAGCUUGUUUUUUCAAGAGUAAACACAAUCACAAAUGAGGCCUACAAAGACGAUCCUACCAUUCUUAACUAGACGAUGAUCGUCGAGUCAUGCUGCCCUUCACAUCCAUCAGGCGAUACACUCUAGGUCCUUAUCGCGGUCUUAUUUUUGGGACUUUGAAACCAUCUUCCAUCACGUCUAAUAUUGUUGUAUUUCAUAAUAGUAAUUGUUCAGCCUUUGACUGACAUAUGGAUGAUAUUUGUAAUAUAUUUCUUUCUUCCAUAUUACCAGGAAAUAUGUCGAAGCACAGAAUAUAUUCCAUUUGCAGUGGACUAACAGAACAACACAACACAUAAAAAGAGGAGUAUAAGUGGAAACCUUUCUUUAUCUUUAAAUUCUUGAGGACGGUAACAUUAUGAUGAAGGUGGAACCAUAGAGAGAUGUGUAUUUUUAAUUGAGAUAUUUUCAGGAGUACCUUUGCAAAGCUGAUAUAUCUUUCUUUUACAAGAUAUGGUUGCACUUGCUUCAUCUACAUAGGCCGUCUGGAAUGCCAUGAGGUCGGGAUUGGUGUAGGAAAUCUUCAAAGCUAUUAUAUUGGUCUCCAGAAACUUGCAAUACAUCAAUGCAUUUUUAUUUUUAUUUUUUUGCUGACACCACAGCUACCACCUCUUCACUAAAUGACAGAGGUUGCCAGCAACUGCACAUGGAAAGAUUGAAUGUUAUAUUCUGUCUACUAAUCAAUAAGGAGGGAGAUCAAAUUACUGCUCUCAAAUAUUCACCUGAUUGAUUUUGAAAAUAGGGUUAAAAAUGGUGUUAUGAAUGAAGAUGGAUGGGGGUGAGGGCUGGGAGAAAGAUGUUGUAUUGCAAGAAGAAGUUGGUUAAGAAGACUGAUGAUUAUGAGAAUGAAGGACACGAACUUUUGAAUUAGACCAAUUGUUUGAUCGAUCAUUUUUGUUCUCUUGAAAACGGUGUAUGGUCAAUUUUAGUAUUCUGAUGUGAUUGAAGAAUAUAGGAGGGACAAAGAGAUGUGCUACUGCCAGGACAAUUAUGACUUUCUAUUCAGGUAUUCAGUUAUGAUUCUCCAUGCUCAUGCUUCUCCUAUUCACCUGGAAGUUUAUUGAUGGGAGGGAAGCCACUUCUACUUUGAUGAUUUCUUGGAAGUUCAGCUAGGUGAAUUUACGAUCAGUAUAUACAAGUCAGGUUGUUUGCGAGAAAAUUUCAUUCCUUAGAAUCAUUGUCAUUGUUGUUGCCUACAAGGUACUUGAAGAAAAUGCCCGAGACAUAUUUUAAGGAGUAUAAUUCAGCACUAAGGCUAUUAUUACAACGAUGAAAUCUUUGUUGUGGUAGUUAUGUCUUCAAAUGUGUCGAUCCCUAUCGGCUUACUGAAGUAAACUUUUUUUUGUCGAUUUCUAUUGGCUUACUGACAGCUUGUUUAUUCUUUUCAAAUUUUAAUUCCUUGAUCUUUGCCUCUGCCCAUCUCCAUAUCACA
Triticum aestivum (bread wheat) is the source of this 4575-nucleotide long non-coding RNA. RefSeq lists it as uncharacterized. The transcript is spliced from 5 exons. The record is from RefSeq and is a predicted model, not a curated record. NCBI's taxonomy places the organism in Eukaryota, Viridiplantae, Streptophyta, Magnoliopsida, Poales, Poaceae.